UACGAAGGGGGCUAGCGUUGUUCGGAAUCACUGGGCGUAAAGGGCGCGUAGGCGGCUGUUCAAGUCGGGGGUGAAAUCCCGUGGCUCAACCACGGAAUGGCCUUCGAUACUGGACGGCUCGAGACCGGAAGAGGUGAGUGGAACUGCGAGUGUAGAGGUGAAAUUCGUAGAUAUCAAGCGGAACACCGGUGGCGAAGGCGGCCUUCUGGACAGUGACUGACGCUGAGACGCGAAAGCGUGGGGAGCAAACAGG
RNAcentral lists this ribosomal RNA (253 nucleotides) under uncultured bacterium. RNAcentral's name for it is "partial 16S ribosomal RNA". It matches the Rfam family "Bacterial small subunit ribosomal RNA", at positions 524 to 776 of the family's 1533-position model. The record is from RNAcentral.